Oryza glumipatula is the source of this 206-nucleotide non-coding RNA. The record is from Rfam. Lineage: Eukaryota; Viridiplantae; Streptophyta; Magnoliopsida; Poales; Poaceae.
AAAAAGGCAAACCCUGGGUUUCCGUGUCUAAGUUUGACCGUCUGUCUUAUUUGAAAAAAUUAUGAAAAAAAUUAAAAAGGUAAGUCACGCAUAAAGUAUUAAUCAUGUUUUAUCAUCUAACAAUAAUGAAAAUAUUAAUUAUAAAAAAAUUUCAUAUAAGACGAACAGUUAAACGUUAGACACGGAAACCACAAUUUGUCUUUUUC